RNAcentral lists this unclassified non-coding RNA (623 nucleotides) under Hevea brasiliensis (rubber tree). Lineage: Eukaryota; Viridiplantae; Streptophyta; Magnoliopsida; Malpighiales; Euphorbiaceae. The record is from RNAcentral.
AGCAUAUGCCAUCAACAAUGGAAGAGCUGCAAUGGAGGGUAACAACAGUUUCACUCUCCAAGGUACAUCAAGGACGUCAUCCACAAACCCAAGUAGCAUCAUAAAGCAGAUCGAAGAUAAUGCAGCAUUGUAUUCCACAAGCCAAUUUGAAUCAGCUGUGAAGUUGAAAUAUUGAAACAAGAUUGCCACGACCAAGAACACAGCCCCAACAAUGAUGCCAAGUGACUCAGGUACUUUGACAGAGCCUUGAGGAGUGCCUUUUUUGUUGAUAUCAUAUCCAAAUAAAUUCCUUCUCAAUACAUACUUAGAGGCAACAGGAAUCAUAGUAACAGUGACGAAGAAUCCGAUCAAGCUAACAAUUGCAUUGAUGAGAAUCGAUCGUCGGAGCUCCGAUUCGAUGUCGUAGUGAUAAAAUAUCAAGUAGAAGUACGGGAUUAAGAAUAUCAAAGAGAUUUUGAAAAUUAAGUAAACUUUCGCCGGCGCUAUAGGAGGUUCCGGUGAGGAGUCACUGGAUUUAGGCUUCUCCGUGUUUAUGGAUGAUUCCGGUUGAUUCACGGUGGCCGGCGCCGCCGUUGACGGUCGUUUUUUAGCUGCCAUUGUUUCGAUCUCUCUCUCACUGUGUG